CGAAGUAACCAGGAAAACACAAAAAAAUGGUCGUUUCUUCGUAGGAGACACAAACCGCUAAGCAACAGGGGCUGCAACAGAAACCCCAAUUACCGCCCCCGCCCGCAAGAGCAGAGGGACCCGUUCUCUCCGCAGCAGCUGGGCGAGGAGCGCCCCCGAUUCAGCACAGACCCUCGGCCCGGAAACCAGCGGGGGAAGCCCUGGCCCAGGAGCGGAGCAGCUGGUGGCCUCCAAGCCUUAGGGGCGACUCACGCUCUACCCUUGCCCAAGCCGAGCCCGGCCAGCCCGGGCCCGGCCGCUGCCAGACGCGGGGGCGGCAGCACCCAGGAAAAGUUGCUCCCAUGCAGUGGCCCAGCCCGGGCCAGGGAACGAGGCGGCGCGCGGCGGGGUGAUUCUUUGCAACAGGAAAAUAUUGAAUGGAAAAAUACCACAAGACUGGGAGGAGCCUGAUCACAGAUAGCAGUUUCAAAGAACAGAAUACAGAGAUCUGUUCUUUAUUUCUUAAGCUGAUAUGAAACAGAUGAUUCUUCUGAGUAUAUGUCAGCAUAGUACAACUUCAUAUCAUAGGAUAUGAAAUAGAAAAUGCAAACUUAAAAGACCCUUUUUGCUUCAUAGAUGGACUUUCCAUCUGCUUUCACUCUGGAACUGGAAUUGCUAUUGGUGGUGAUGGACAAUCCAAUAUACCUACAAAGGUGCAUAUGUUAAUGUUAAAAUUCUUGGCACUUGCUUGGAUCCAGCUCCUGCUCCCAUUAAUGUGAAUGGAAGUUUUUUCAUUUACUUAAAUUGGUGCAGGCCUGGAAUGCUAAUUUUCAUACCACAGCUUUUCAGGGCACUACUUCUUAAAGGAAUGUAGGAUUUUCAACUGCUGUUUUGUAGAGCACGCGCAGUUGGGCAAAACGCGGCUUUUAUUGAAAAGGAAGACCAAUAGGAAAAUGUGAACAAGUGUUAAAUUUAGCAAAAAUUUAUUGUAUAGUAUGUCUAUGUUGUUAUAACAUGCAAUUAUCAGCUAAGGAAAGUAGGAGAAAUUAAAAAAAAAAAAAAGCACUAGCAUCUGGGGCCCAUGUUGGAAAUGUAGAUGUUGUAGAGUGUCUUGUGGGUGGAAGAUGGAUGGGGGUAUAAGGGCAGACUUAAAGUUGGCAUUUGAAUGGUAAUAUGAUGCCAGAUUCUCAGGAAAUUUAAAGUUCAACUUUAACAAACAUUCUAUUAACAUUGAUUUAAAAGGGAAUAUAUUCUCAACCUUAACGAUAUAAUCACAAAGUUAUGUGCCUUGCAAUAUAUGAACACCCAGCAGAUUUACUCACUUAUAAAACUGGUUAAUUUAACAGAUUAGGCAGUAAUUAUAUUACACCAUUUACUACAUGUGGGUUUUAGUUAUAUAAAAAUGUAAUAGCUUUUAUUUACUAUUUAUUUAAAAGGCUUUUAUAGUAUGGAUGCAUAAUUUAAAUAAUCUAGAAGAGCAAUGAAGUGAGCUGUAGCUCACAAAAGCUUAUGCUCAAAUAAAUUGGUUAGACUCUAA
Long non-coding RNA from Caretta caretta (loggerhead turtle), 1516 nucleotides. RefSeq lists it as uncharacterized. The record is from RefSeq and is a predicted model, not a curated record. NCBI's taxonomy places the organism in Eukaryota, Metazoa, Chordata, Testudines, Cheloniidae.